This 321-nucleotide unclassified non-coding RNA is filed under the name Hevea brasiliensis (rubber tree). The record is from RNAcentral. Lineage: Eukaryota; Viridiplantae; Streptophyta; Magnoliopsida; Malpighiales; Euphorbiaceae.
CAGAAACUGAAAUUCCUUAAAAGAAUAGCCUGACUUUUCAAAUCCUCAGGAAUGAAAUUCUACAAACUAAUUCCUCAUAUGUACUCUUGCUGCAGUAUGAUCAGAGUUAGAUUAGCAAUUCCAUCAAAUUUUGGCCAAAAGGAUCAGAAACUAUAAACCAAUUUGAUUAUGUAAAUACCUCUAUAUAAUUUACCAAUCCAAGCACACUAAAAAAUGCAAAUAAGUAAAAUUUUAUUGAGAAGGUGACAUCACAAACCAAUUCUAUUAUUGAAAAGGGGACUACAAUCAAUAAGACUAAACCUCAAAAAGCACACUUUUUAA